UACAGGACCAGGCGGGGGGACAACACAGGGACUGGGAAGGGACAGCCGGGUCUUAAUGGGGGUCCUGGGAAACCUCAGCUGCAUCUGAUGGAAAACUUGUUUCUCUCGGUCCCGCUGCUGUCCUGCACUGGCUCCGGUGCAAACCCCAUCCCGGCCAUGGCUUCAGAUGAGGAGGGAUCAAGCAUCGGGAGCGACCCAGGCAUGGGCAGAUCAAGGGAAAGAAGGCAAGAGGCAAGAGUCAAACCCCAGGCUUUUGGGGUGCCCCCCUGAGCACAGACCCUCAGCCCACCUGGACCCUGUGCUCAGGAUGGCUGGAGCAGAUCUUUGGGAGCACCGUGGGGUGCACGAUGUGGCUCAUCCUCUCUGUACAGGGAAAAAUGAGUUUAUCCCCAGCUUGGAGGCUGUUUGGCUGCUGCAGAGAGUGGAAAGCGCAGUUUCCCUGCCUGGUUGCCGCCUCUGCCCAUCCUUCGGGGUGGCUUUUGGGAAGGACCCUUCAGGGCUUUGUCUCCUGGGACAUUUUAUUUGGAGCAGCAGUGAGGUGCUCUGCUCCGGCUGGCAUUCCUCGGCCUAGCCUCUGCCCUGGGAAGGCCCCAAAACUGGACCCGUUGCAGCAGAAAGAGCUAAAAAUAGCGGUUCUCACGGCGGAUGCAGAAAAGCAUCUGAACAUGCGGCCUCUGAACCUGCCAGCAGCAGAGGACGGGGCCGAACCCCCAGCCCUGUCCCUAGCCCGGCAGACACCCUGUGGCCUCUACGACCCCAAAUUUUCCCCCAGUGACACCCCCCCCCUUUGAAGCCCCGCCGGUGCAACCAAACCCACCACGACCCGCCUUGACACUGGGGCAAUGCCGGGUGCAGGCAGGGGGGCAGCAGGCAGCCCCCGGGUGCAGGCAGCAAGGACGCAAGGGGUUAACCUCCCCGCGCCCGGCGGAUGCAGCAUCCUGGGCUGGGCUCUUUCCAUCUUGUUUUGGUUUGAAGGAAUAAAAGCUUCGGCAGUGGCGUAGCCGCUUCCCAAAAUAA
Molecule: long non-coding RNA, 1017 nt
Organism: Harpia harpyja (harpy eagle)
Lineage: Eukaryota; Metazoa; Chordata; Aves; Accipitriformes; Accipitridae
Exons: 2
Source: RefSeq, a predicted model, not a curated record